CAGACCUCUAAUCGGAAAAGACUACCCGCUGAGUUUAAGCAUAUCACUAAGCGGAGGAGAAGAAACUAACCAGGAUCCCAGA
Molecule: ribosomal RNA, 82 nt
Filed under: Pseudotaxiphyllum pohliicarpum
Lineage: Eukaryota; Viridiplantae; Streptophyta; Bryopsida; Hypnales; Plagiotheciaceae
Description: partial 26S ribosomal RNA
Rfam family: Eukaryotic large subunit ribosomal RNA
Source: RNAcentral